AUUCGUCCAAAGACCUUUGUAACUUAGUGGCGAACGGGUGAGUAACGCGUGAGCAAUCUGCCUCGGAGUGGGGGACAACGGUUGGAAACGACUGCUAAUACCGCAUAAUGUGUUUUGACCGCAUGAUCGAGAUGCCAAAGAUUUAUUGCUGAAAGAUGGGCUCGCGUCUGAUUAGAUAGUUGGUGAGGUAACGGCCCACCAAGGCGACGAUCAGUAGCCGGACUGAGAGGUUGACCGGCCACAUUGGGACUGAGAUACGGCCCAGACUCC
This 270-nucleotide ribosomal RNA is filed under the name uncultured Oscillospiraceae bacterium. Its description in RNAcentral is "partial 16S ribosomal RNA". It matches the Rfam family "Bacterial small subunit ribosomal RNA", at positions 69 to 339 of the family's 1533-position model. Lineage: Bacteria; Bacillati; Bacillota; Clostridia; Eubacteriales; Oscillospiraceae. The record is from RNAcentral.